UCCUGCAGAUACUGCCAAGCCAUGCAUAAAUGCCAUAAUGCACCCUCCCAAUACUCUACUAAAAAGGAGUAUAAUCAAGACUACCACUCACUCGACUCCGACCCAAUCAUAAACUAACAUCAGGGUUGGGAGUGAGGGGUCAAGGGUGUGCAAUGCAACUCAAUAUACUACUGAAAUGGGCUCUACAAAUCUUUGAAAUAGAGGAAAUGAAAUCAAUUUACAAAAGAAGUCAUUUCACAAUUCAGAUCAAUUUGAUUACUCAUCAACCCCUCGUAAUUCCUCUCAAUGUUUCCUCAAAUGCAUGUAUAGAAUAAUCAAGCAUAGAGAAUCAAGAUUUUAGAGGAAUCUACUACAACAAUUAAUCAAUAAGCUCAGGUGGAAUCAAGUCACACUUGGCGACAUUCAUGAAAAUGAAUUAAGGAAGCUCAUGGUGCAAAGUACAUGACUCCCACUCACCUGUCAAUCCGGCACAGCCCUGAUACGCCUCCAAAAAUCUACAGCAGGCAGUGGGGAACUUCUUCCUCUUGUUCCCUAGCUUCUUGCCCAACUGUGACAUGCAUUUAUAAUACAUUUAGUCUUGUAUCAAGGGCUAUAAUCUACGUGCUAAUUA
This 610-nucleotide long non-coding RNA is filed under the name Phoenix dactylifera (date palm). RNAcentral describes it as "long non-coding RNA (PDAC_LNC011648)". The record is from RNAcentral. Lineage: Eukaryota; Viridiplantae; Streptophyta; Magnoliopsida; Arecales; Arecaceae.